This 497-nucleotide ribosomal RNA is filed under the name uncultured bacterium. RNAcentral's name for it is "partial 16S ribosomal RNA". It matches the Rfam family "Bacterial small subunit ribosomal RNA", at positions 28 to 507 of the family's 1533-position model. The record is from RNAcentral.
GAUGAACGCUGGCGGCGUGCCUAAUACAUGCAAGUCGAGCGAACAGGUGAGGAGCUUGCUCCUCUGACGUUAGCGGCGGACGGGGGAGUAACACGUGGAUAACCUACCUAUAAGACUGGGAUAACUUCGGGAAACCGGAGCUAAUACCGGAUAAUAUAUUGAACCGCAUGGUUCAAUAGUGAAAGACGGUUUUGCUGUCACUUAUAGAUGGAUCCGCGCCGCAUUAGCUAGUUGGUAGGGUAACGGCUUACCAAGGCAACGAUGCGUAGCCGACCUGAGAGGAUGAUCGGCCACACUGGAACUGAGACACGGUCCAGACUCCUACGGGAGGCAGCAGUAGGGAAUCUUCCGCAAUGGGCGAAAGCCUGACGGAGCAACGCCGCGUGAGUGAUGAAGGUCUUCGGAUCGUAAAACUCUGUUAUUAGGGAAGAACAAAUGUGUAAGUAACUAUGCACGUCUUGACGGUACCUAAUCAGAAAGCCACGGCUAACUACGUG